CUUACAUUCUGGAGGCCCCAGUGAGAUCCCUGGGUAGGAACCCCUGGUUUGGCCAAGACUCCGUGAUGGGAUCCAGCAGGAGACUCUCAGGCACAAACCUCAGAAAACCUCCGGAGAGUUUAUCUUCCAUACCCAUGAUCCUACUUGGGAUGAUUGCCAACAACUCCUCCAGGCCCUUUUUACCUCAGAGGAGAGGGAAAGGAUCCAGGGACAAGCUGUGAGAUCGGUACUAGGUGGACCAGAAGGCCCCCUAGAUGACCAACAGUGAGCCCAUCUGGAAGCACAGCUCCCAUCCACCCGACCCCACUGGAAAACUAAUACCUCAGGCAGGAGAGAAGCUCUCCAGAACUACCAUCAGCAUCUCCUGGCCAGCCUGAAGGGAGCCUCUCAGAAGCCUACCAAUUUGAGCAAGGUUUGACUCCAAGACCCUUGAACCCCUCUGGGAGGGACCAUUUCCUGUCAUCCUGGUGACUCCCUCAGCAGUGAAGGUAGCUGGACACUCUGCCUGGAUCCACCACAGCCAUUUAAAGGCAGCACCCCUGGAGGAAGAGACGUCAACAUGGCGGAUCGAUCGGAACACAAAGGACCCCCUCAAGAUAAGAUUGAUCAAAGACUAGUUUGGACAACAUGGGGGUUCUUGGGGCUACUGUUCUUACCAGGCCCAAUGGAAGGGGGAUCUGGAUGCCAGCUGGUGUUGUCCAGCCACACUCCCCAGAACUGGACUUGGUCCUUGAAAAAUGCCUUAACGGGAGCUCACAUUGCCACCAUUACUACUGAUAGACAGCCCCAUUUUAUUAUAGACCUGUGUUCUCUAGGGCUUCCAAUCAUUAGUGGUGGAGGGGCUGGAUCAAAGGGUAAAGUUUCAUCUGAAAAGAUGGGUAAAGGGGGCUGUGGAUGGAGGUGUGGAAUAGAUGAUAAAUUGGAAAAAAACCUCCAAGAUAUAGAUAUUUAUGCCUGCCCCAUAGGGAAAAAUAAAAGGUGCAAUGGGACACCAGGAAACCACUGUCAUCAUUGGGGUUGCAAAUCUAUUGCCCCAUGGAAAAAUGAUGAUGCGAUGCGUAUUUGGCCUUGGAAUGACAAACACCAAGUGGUUCAUGUUCCAAAGGAAAAUGUAAUCCCAUCAAGCUAACCUUAAAACAAUGGCAAAAUCCAUAUAAAGAUUGGGAAAAAGGAAAAUCCUGGAUGAUGGCACUCUAUGUGGGUAGAAAGGACCCUAUGACUGACCUCCUCAUCCAGCGUAGCCCGGUAAUAGUACCGCCUAAACUGGUAGGCAACAUUUAUGGGGUCUCCAGCCCCCAAGAAAAAGAAAAGGCAAAAGGAACCUAUAAUGUGUCAUUAGUUGCUCCUGAGUCUCCAAUCCAACCAUACCUAAAAACUCUGGAUGCCACGUACACCCUGUUAAAUGAGUCUAGCUCCAACCUUACUCAAGGGUGUUGGCUGUGUUUGAAUCCACGUCCCCAUAUUAUGUAGGGUUAACAGUCAAUGGCACCUUCUCAGAAGCUGACCAAAAUGAGUAUGAUUGAAA
RNAcentral lists this long non-coding RNA (1525 nucleotides) under Heterocephalus glaber (naked mole-rat). RNAcentral's name for it is "lncRNA (ENSHGLG00100034198.1)". The record is from RNAcentral. Lineage: Eukaryota; Metazoa; Chordata; Mammalia; Rodentia; Bathyergidae.